UUUUUUUUUAUGAAUAUGUUAUAUCUGAUAAUUUAUUUUUCACAUUUAAAUUUUAAUUAUAUAAUUCAAUGAAUGUUUUUAUAGUUUAAUAGCCAAAGAGAAAUCUAUACUGGAAGUAAAUUUGACUGGGCCACAAAUGGGCCAUUUAAAACAUGCCUAGAAAAGGCUUGUAUAUGAGACUGAUGUUGUGUAUGAGACUGAUGUGGUUUUAUUUGAACUAUGUUGUAAAUAAAGGAUUGAGUCUAUAUAUAUAUAUAGAAGAAGAAACUAACCGUUAGUCUUAGAAGUUAAUGGUGUUUGCUGAUGUUCCUAACGGUUAUUUAAUAUGGUCUCUCUAUUGGGACCGGAAGAAAUUAAAUUCUAUAGUAAAGGAGAGUAAAUUAAAUGUUUUGUUAAUAAUUCUGUUGGUUUUAGUUACACUACCAUGAAUAUGUAAAUCAAACAAUUGGAUAAGAGGGUAGUCAUAUUCUUGAUUUUCUUCAUAUUUUGCUCACUAAUUUGAUAACCUAACUCUAAAUACAAAAUUACUUUGAUGAACUAAUCUUUAUGUAAACUAAAACAUAUCUCAGUUUUGGAAUUAAUUAAAGUAAAGAUGAAAUAUAUGAUAUGUGGUUUAGCAUAUCAUACGAUAUUAACUCUAUUUUAAUGGAAAAAUCGUCAAAAUAGCCUAGUCACUAAUCUUAUGUGUCGCACUAUAAGUUAUAUCCGGCUUUAGCAUAUCAAUACAAUACUAAAAGGGGAAUACCCUCAAAUUCUAAGCUGUCCACGUCAUCAAAAAUAUUCAACCAAUCAAAACAUUUCAUUUUUGGAUAUGGGCUUAAAAUUUGUUUAGAAUGGACUUAGGUGUGUGGGUUUUGUUUGGUUUAGGUUUGGGCUUUUUUUCAUCUGUCGAUCUUUCCAAAACGUCUGCCGAUCUGAAGCUUUAAAUCAGCUUAUCAUGGUCUCAUAAACCAUGAGUUUUUCUUUCUUCCUCGAGUCUGCAGUCUCCUCCUACGACGCCGCUUUGCAUUCUCCGGUCAGAUUAUGAAUACGACGGAUCCACAUUUAAUCACUAACGCCACUCAAGAGUUAGUUUUUUUUUUUUUGCAGAUUCAACACAAUCGUCAAUACCAAAGCUUCAGGAAAGGAAAUUAAAGGAAACUAUCUCAAAUAGGGACAAAGUUGGUCGAAAUGUUAAUCCAUGGGUUUAAGGUUUGAUCCAGUCGUAUCAGUGUUGGAUUAGUUUGUUACACAAGAAGAUACAAUAAAGCUAAUCUAGAGUCGUAUCGGUGUAUAGCUUCUGAAGCGUAUCUCCUGCUCUCUAAUUUCUCCGACCACGUUAAAUAGGUUGAUUAGGAAAGGGAUCCCGCCGGUAUUAAGGUAAAAAGUUUGCCUUUUAUUUCUGAUGCUGCCAAGAAAAGUCCACCGCCCUAGAGAAUUAUUACAGUGAUUUGAGCAGGCCGAAAAGGAAAGACCACAUUGACAACACAGCAGAUUGAUCGUGUGAGACUGAUCUUAUCUGAAGUCUCAAUUUUUUUUUUUGUUCUUCAAAAAAAUUGAUGUAUUUUAUAUUCAGUUAAUUUUCAAGGAUAUAUUGGUGUUGUAUAAUUGGUUAUAAGCUCUGUUUCAUAUUGUAAUUUUAUGUAGUCUCAAAAGCAUUGUGAAAACAAGAUGCUA
Molecule: long non-coding RNA, 1656 nt
Organism: Brassica napus (rape)
Lineage: Eukaryota; Viridiplantae; Streptophyta; Magnoliopsida; Brassicales; Brassicaceae
Exons: 2
Source: RefSeq, a predicted model, not a curated record